RNAcentral lists this ribosomal RNA (253 nucleotides) under uncultured bacterium. RNAcentral's name for it is "partial 16S ribosomal RNA". It matches the Rfam family "Bacterial small subunit ribosomal RNA", at positions 524 to 776 of the family's 1533-position model. The record is from RNAcentral.
UACAGAGGUCCCAAGCGUUGUUCGGAUUCACUGGGCGUAAAGGGUGCGUAGGCGGUCGGGUAAGUCUGACGUGAAAUCUUCAAGCUCAACUUGGAAACUGCGUCGGAUACUAUUCGGCUAGAGGAAUGGAGGGGAGACUGGAAUACUUGGUGUAGCAGUGAAAUGCGUAGAUAUCAAGUGGAACACCAGUGGCGAAGGCGAGUCUCUGGACAUUUCCUGACGCUGAGGCACGAAAGCGUGGGUAGCAAACAGG